RNAcentral lists this ribosomal RNA (254 nucleotides) under uncultured bacterium. RNAcentral's name for it is "partial 16S ribosomal RNA". It matches the Rfam family "Bacterial small subunit ribosomal RNA", at positions 524 to 776 of the family's 1533-position model. The record is from RNAcentral.
UACGGGGGGGGCAAGCGUUGUUCGGAAUUACUGGGCGUAAAGGGCGCGUAGGCGGCCUACUAAGUCGGACGUGAAAUCCCUCGGCUCAACCGAGGAACUGCGUCCGAUACUGGCAGGCUGGAAUCCGGGAGAGGGAUGUGGAAUUCCAGGUGUAGCGGUGAAAUGCGUAGAUAUCUGGAGGAACACCGGUGGCGAAGGCGGCAUCCUGGACCGGUAUUGACGCUGAGUGAGCGAAAGCCAGGGGAGCAAACGGG